UACGAAGGGGGCUAGCGUUGCUCGGAAUUACUGGGCGUAAAGGGCGCGUAGGCGGACAGGUUAGUCAGAGGUGAAAGCCCAGGGCUCAACCUUGGAAUUGCCUUUGAUACUGGCUGUCUUGAGUUCGGGAGAGGUGAGUGGAAUGCCGAGUGUAGAGGUGAAAUUCGUAGAUAUUCGGCGGAACACCAGUGGCGAAGGCGACUCACUGGCCCGAUACUGACGCUGAGGCGCGAAAGCGUGGGGAGCAAACAGG
RNAcentral lists this ribosomal RNA (253 nucleotides) under uncultured bacterium. RNAcentral describes it as "partial 16S ribosomal RNA". It matches the Rfam family "Bacterial small subunit ribosomal RNA", at positions 524 to 776 of the family's 1533-position model. The record is from RNAcentral.